UUACUACAUGGAUAACCGUGGUAAUUCUAGAGCUAAUACAUGCUAAAAACCCCGACUUCGGAAGGGGUGUAUUUAUUAGAUAAAAAACCAAUGCCCUUCGGGGCUCCUUGGUGAAUCAUAAUAACUUAACGAAUCGCAUGGCCUUGCGCCGGCGAUGGUUCAUUCAAAUUUCUGCCCUAUCAACUUUCGAUGGUAGGAUAGUGGCCUACCAUGGUAUCAACGGGUAACGGGGAAUUAGGGUUCUAUUCCGGAGAGGGAGCCUGAGAAACGGCUACCACAUCCAAGGAAGGCAGCAGGCGCGCAAAUUACCCAAUCCCGACUCGGGGAGGUAGUGACAAUAAAUACUGAUACAGGGCUCUUUUGGGUCUUGUAAUUGGAAUGAGUACAAUUUAAAUCCCUUAACGAGGAACAAUUGGAGGGCAAGUCUGGUGCCAGCAGCCGCGGUAAUUCCAGCUCCAAUAGCGUAUAUUAAAGUUGUUGCAGUUAAAAAGCUCGUAGUUGAACCUUGGGCCUGGCUGGCCGGUCCGCCUCACCGCGUGUACUGGUCCGGCCGGGCCUUUCCUUCUGGGGAGCCGCAUGGCCUUCACUGGCCGUGUCGGGGAACCAGGACUUUUACUUUGAAAAAAUUAGAGUGUUCAAAGCAGGCCUUUGCUCGAAUACAUUAGCAUGGAAUAAUAGAAUAGGACGUGCGAUCCUAUUUUGUUGGUUUCUAGGACCGCCGUAAUGAUUAAUAGGGAUAGUCGGGGGCAUCAGUAUUCAAUUGUCAGAGGUGAAAUUCUUGGAUUUAUUGAAGACUAACUACUGCGAAAGCAUUUGCCAAGGAUGUUUUCAUUAAUCAGUGAACGAAAGUUAGGGGAUCGAAGACGAUCAGAUACCGUCGUAGUCUUAACCAUAAACUAUGCCGACUAGGGAUCGGUGGAUGUUACUAUUAUGACUCCA
Molecule: ribosomal RNA, 939 nt
Filed under: Dothideomycetes sp. TRN 122
Lineage: Eukaryota; Fungi; Ascomycota; Dothideomycetes
Description: SSU rRNA
Rfam family: Eukaryotic small subunit ribosomal RNA
Source: RNAcentral